GCUAGGCAUGGUGGUGCAUGCCUGUAGUCCCAGCUACUAGGGAAGCUGAGGUGGGAGGAUGGCUUGAGCCCAGAAGGUCAAGUCUGCAGUGAGCCAUGAUUGUGCCACUGCUCUCUAGCCUGGGCAACAGAGCAAGACCCUGUCUCAA
Pongo abelii (Sumatran orangutan) is the source of this 148-nucleotide unclassified non-coding RNA. It matches the Rfam family "Metazoan signal recognition particle RNA". From Rfam's summary of the family: The signal recognition particle (SRP) is a universally conserved ribonucleoprotein. The record is from Ensembl. NCBI's taxonomy places the organism in Eukaryota, Metazoa, Chordata, Mammalia, Primates, Hominidae.